AGCUGAAACUUAAAGGAAUUGACGGAAGCGCACACAAGAAAUGGGGCCUGCGGCUUAAUUUGACUCAACACGGUGCAACUCACCCGGCCCGGACACAGGAAGGAUUGACAGAUUAAGAGCUCUUUCUUGAUUCUGUGACAGGUGGUGCAUGGCCGUUUCUAGUUGGUGGAGUGAUUUGUCUGCUUUAUUGCGAUAACGAGCGAGACUCUAGCCUACUAAAUAGACUGGCGAUCCUGUUACAGUGGCCAGGUCUUCUUAGAGGGACAAGCGGUGUUCAGCCGCACGAAACUGAGCAAAAACAGGUCAGGAUGCCCUUAGAUGUUCGGGGCCGCACGCGCGCCACAUUGAAGGAAUCAGCGUGUGCUUUCCCUCUCCGAUAGGAGUGGGUAACCCGUUGAAACUCCUUCGUGCUAGGGAUAGGAAAUUGUAAUUGUUUUCCUUGAACGAGGAAUUCCCAGUAAGCAUUGAGUCAUCAGCUCGUGUUGAUUACGUCCCUGCGCUUUGUGCACACCGCCCGUCGCUAUUAUCGAUGAAUUUUGGAGUGAGAUCAUCGGACUGGCUAAGGUUCUGUGCUUCUAUGGUGUGGAGCCUGUGUUGGAAAGAUGACCGAACUUGAAUAUUAGAG
Molecule: ribosomal RNA, 625 nt
Filed under: Tetragnatha mandibulata
Lineage: Eukaryota; Metazoa; Arthropoda; Arachnida; Araneae; Tetragnathidae
Description: SSU rRNA
Rfam family: Eukaryotic small subunit ribosomal RNA
Source: RNAcentral